Molecule: ribosomal RNA, 2794 nt
Filed under: Escherichia coli
Lineage: Bacteria; Pseudomonadati; Pseudomonadota; Gammaproteobacteria; Enterobacterales; Enterobacteriaceae
Description: partial 23S ribosomal RNA
Rfam family: Bacterial large subunit ribosomal RNA
Source: RNAcentral
GGUUAAGCGACUAAGCGUACACGGUGGAUGCCCUGGCAGUCAGAGGCGAUGAAGGACGUGCUAAUCUGCGAUAAGCGUCGGUAAGGUGAUAUGAACCGUUAUAACCGGCGAUUUCCGAAUGGGGAAACCCAGUGUGUUUCGACACACUAUCAUUAACUGAAUCCAUAGGUUAAUGAGGCGAACCGGGGGAACUGAAACAUCUAAGUACCCCGAGGAAAAGAAAUCAACCGAGAUUCCCCCAGUAGCGGCGAGCGAACGGGGAGCAGCCCAGAGCCUGAAUCAGUGUGUGUGUUAGUGGAAGCGUCUGGAAAGGCGCGCGAUACAGGGUGACAGCCCCGUACACAAAAAUGCACAUGCUGUGAGCUCGAUGAGUAGGGCGGGACACGUGGUAUCCUGUCUGAAUAUGGGGGGACCAUCCUCCAAGGCUAAAUACUCCUGACUGACCGAUAGUGAACCAGUACCGUGAGGGAAAGGCGAAAAGAACCCCGGCGAGGGGAGUGAAAAAGAACCUGAAACCGUGUACGUACAAGCAGUGGGAGCACGCUUAGGCGUGUGACUGCGUACCUUUUGUAUAAUGGGUCAGCGACUUAUAUUCUGUAGCAAGGUUAACCGAAUAGGGGAGCCGAAGGGAAACCGAGUCUUAACUGGGCGUUAAGUUGCAGGGUAUAGACCCGAAACCCGGUGAUCUAGCCAUGGGCAGGUUGAAGGUUGGGUAACACUAACUGGAGGACCGAACCGACUAAUGUUGAAAAAUUAGCGGAUGACUUGUGGCUGGGGGUGAAAGGCCAAUCAAACCGGGAGAUAGCUGGUUCUCCCCGAAAGCUAUUUAGGUAGCGCCUCGUGAAUUCAUCUCCGGGGGUAGAGCACUGUUUCGGCAAGGGGGUCAUCCCGACUUACCAACCCGAUGCAAACUGCGAAUACCGGAGAAUGUUAUCACGGGAGACACACGGCGGGUGCUAACGUCCGUCGUGAAGAGGGAAACAACCCAGACCGCCAGCUAAGGUCCCAAAGUCAUGGUUAAGUGGGAAACGAUGUGGGAAGGCCCAGACAGCCAGGAUGUUGGCUUAGAAGCAGCCAUCAUUUAAAGAAAGCGUAAUAGCUCACUGGUCGAGUCGGCCUGCGCGGAAGAUGUAACGGGGCUAAACCAUGCACCGAAGCUGCGGCAGCGACACUAUGUGUUGUUGGGUAGGGGAGCGUUCUGUAAGCCUGUGAAGGUGUGCUGUGAGGCAUGCUGGAGGUAUCAGAAGUGCGAAUGCUGACAUAAGUAACGAUAAAGCGGGUGAAAAGCCCGCUCGCCGGAAGACCAAGGGUUCCUGUCCAACGUUAAUCGGGGCAGGGUGAGUCGACCCCUAAGGCGAGGCCGAAAGGCGUAGUCGAUGGGAAACAGGUUAAUAUUCCUGUACUUGGUGUUACUGCGAAGGGGGGACGGAGAAGGCUAUGUUGGCCGGGCGACGGUUGUCCCGGUUUAAGCGUGUAGGCUGGUUUUCCAGGCAAAUCCGGAAAAUCAAGGCUGAGGCGUGAUGACGAGGCACUACGGUGCUGAAGCAACAAAUGCCCUGCUUCCAGGAAAAGCCUCUAAGCAUCAGGUAACAUCAAAUCGUACCCCAAACCGACACAGGUGGUCAGGUAGAGAAUACCAAGGCGCUUGAGAGAACUCGGGUGAAGGAACUAGGCAAAAUGGUGCCGUAACUUCGGGAGAAGGCACGCUGAUAUGUAGGUGAAGUCCCUCGCGGAUGGAGCUGAAAUCAGUCGAAGAUACCAGCUGGCUGCAACUGUUUAUUAAAAACACAGCACUGUGCAAACACGAAAGUGGACGUAUACGGUGUGACGCCUGCCCGGUGCCGGAAGGUUAAUUGAUGGGGUUAGCGGUAACGCGAAGCUCUUGAUCGAAGCCCCGGUAAACGGCGGCCGUAACUAUAACGGUCCUAAGGUAGCGAAAUUCCUUGUCGGGUAAGUUCCGACCUGCACGAAUGGCGUAAUGAUGGCCAGGCUGUCUCCACCCGAGACUCAGUGAAAUUGAACUCGCUGUGAAGAUGCAGUGUACCCGCGGCAAGACGGAAAGACCCCGUGAACCUUUACUAUAGCUUGACACUGAACAUUGAGCCUUGAUGUGUAGGAUAGGUGGGAGGCUUUGAAGUGUGGACGCCAGUCUGCAUGGAGCCGACCUUGAAAUACCACCCUUUAAUGUUUGAUGUUCUAACGUGGACCCGUGAUCCGGGUUGCGGACAGUGUCUGGUGGGUAGUUUGACUGGGGCGGUCUCCUCCUAAAGAGUAACGGAGGAGCACGAAGGUUGGCUAAUCCUGGUCGGACAUCAGGAGGUUAGUGCAAUGGCAUAAGCCAGCUUGACUGCGAGCGUGACGGCGCGAGCAGGUGCGAAAGCAGGUCAUAGUGAUCCGGUGGUUCUGAAUGGAAGGGCCAUCGCUCAACGGAUAAAAGGUACUCCGGGGAUAACAGGCUGAUACCGCCCAAGAGUUCAUAUCGACGGCGGUGUUUGGCACCUCGAUGUCGGCUCAUCACAUCCUGGGGCUGAAGUAGGUCCCAAGGGUAUGGCUGUUCGCCAUUUAAAGUGGUACGCGAGCUGGGUUUAGAACGUCGUGAGACAGUUCGGUCCCUAUCUGCCGUGGGCGCUGGAGAACUGAGGGGGGCUGCUCCUAGUACGAGAGGACCGGAGUGGACGCAUCACUGGUGUUCGGGUUGUCAUGCCAAUGGCACUGCCCGGUAGCUAAAUGCGGAAGAGAUAAGUGCUGAAAGCAUCUAAGCACGAAACUUGCCCCGAGAUGAGUUCUCCCUGAC